UACAGAGGUCCCAAGCGUUGUUCGGAUUCACUGGGCGUAAAGGGUGCGUAGGUGGCCAGGUAAGUUUGAUGUGAAAUCUCCGGGCUUAACCCGGAAAGUGCAUUGAAUACUAUCUGGCUAGAGGGUUGGAGGGGGGACUGGAAUUCUCGGUGUAGCAGUGAAAUGCGUAGAUAUCGUAAGGAAGACCAGUGGCGAAGGCGAAUCUCUGGACAGUUACUGACACUGAGGCACGAAGGCCAGGGGAGCAAACGGG
This 253-nucleotide ribosomal RNA is filed under the name uncultured bacterium. Its description in RNAcentral is "partial 16S ribosomal RNA". It matches the Rfam family "Bacterial small subunit ribosomal RNA", at positions 524 to 776 of the family's 1533-position model. The record is from RNAcentral.